RNAcentral lists this ribosomal RNA (500 nucleotides) under uncultured bacterium. Its description in RNAcentral is "bacterial SSU rRNA". It matches the Rfam family "Bacterial small subunit ribosomal RNA", at positions 28 to 517 of the family's 1533-position model. The record is from RNAcentral.
GAUGAACGCUAGCUACAGGCUUAACACAUGCAAGUCGAGGGGAACGAUAGAGAAAGCUUGCUUUUCUAGGCGUCGACCGGCGCACGGGUGAGUAACGCGUAUCCAACCUGCCCAUCACUUGGGGAUAACCUUGCGAAAGUAAGACUAAUACCCAAUGAUAUCUCUAGAAGACAUCUGAAAGAGAUUAAAGAUUUAUCGGUGAUGGAUGGGGAUGCGUCUGAUUAGCUUGUUGGCGGGGUAACGGCCCACCAAGGCGACGAUCAGUAGGGGUUCUGAGAGGAAGGUCCCCCACAUUGGAACUGAGACACGGUCCAAACUCCUACGGGAGGCAGCAGUGAGGAAUAUUGGUCAAUGGACGAGAGUCUGAACCAGCCAAGUAGCGUGCAGGAUGACGGCCCUAUGGGUUGUAAACUGCUUUUAUAAGGGAAUAAAGUGAGUCUCGUGAGGCUUUUUGCAUGUACCUUAUGAAUAAGGACCGGCUAAUUCCGUGCCAGCAGCCG